RNAcentral lists this ribosomal RNA (121 nucleotides) under Lates calcarifer (barramundi perch). Lineage: Eukaryota; Metazoa; Chordata; Actinopteri; Centropomidae. The record is from RNAcentral.
GCUUACGGCCACACCACCCUGAGCGCGGCCCGAUCUCGUCUGAUCUCGGAAGCUAAGCAGGGUCGGGCCCUGGUUAGUACUUGGAUGGGAGACCGCCUGGGAAUACCAGGUGCCGUAAGCU